CUGCAUGGUUGUCGUCAGCUCGUGCCGUGAGGUGUCGGGUUAAGUCCCAUAACGAGCGCAACCCCUACCUUAGUUGCCAUCAGGUAAUGCUGGGGACUCUAAAGGAACUGCCUACGCAAGUAGUGAGGAAGCGGGGAUGACGUCAAAUCAGCACGGCCCUUACGUCCAGGGCUACACACGUGCUACAAUGGCCGAUACAGAGGGCAGCUACCUGGUGACAGGAUGCAAAUCUCCAAAGUCGGUCUCAGUUCGGAUCGGAGUCUGCAACCCGACUCCGUGAAGUUGGAUUCGCUAGUAAUCGCGCAUCAGCCAUGGCGCGGUGAAUACGUUCCCGGGCCUU
This 340-nucleotide ribosomal RNA is filed under the name uncultured Sphingobacteriales bacterium. Its description in RNAcentral is "bacterial SSU rRNA". It matches the Rfam family "Bacterial small subunit ribosomal RNA", at positions 1041 to 1382 of the family's 1533-position model. Lineage: Bacteria; Pseudomonadati; Bacteroidota; Sphingobacteriia; Sphingobacteriales. The record is from RNAcentral.